ACAAUGCGGGACUAUCAGUCUUGCAAUUGGAUUGAGAACAAUGUACAACUCUUAUCGAUAAGCCAUUGGAGGGCAAGUCUGGUGCCAGCAGCCGCGGUAAUUCCAGCUCCAAUAGCGUAUAUUAACGUUGUUGCAGUUAAAAAGCUCGUAGUUGAAGUGUGGGUGGUGCUGUCUGAAUGACUUCGGUUAGUCAGAUGAUCACUACCCCCUUCCAGUAUCCAGUAGUGGGUAUUCAGUUACUUACUAUUGUGUGUUGGUCCUUUACUGUGAGAAAAUUAGAGUGUUCAAAGCAGGCGUUUGCUUGAAUAGAUUAGCAUGGAAUAAUAAUUGAAGGCUUUCGUGUUCGAUUUGAUUGGUUUGUUCAUGGAAGCAAGGUUAAAAGGAACAGUUGGGGGUAUUCAUAUUCACUAGUUAGAGGUGAAAUUCUCGGAUUUAUGGAA
This 440-nucleotide ribosomal RNA is filed under the name uncultured Blastocystis sp. Its description in RNAcentral is "bacterial SSU rRNA". It matches the Rfam family "Eukaryotic small subunit ribosomal RNA", at positions 477 to 933 of the family's 1831-position model. The record is from RNAcentral. Lineage: Eukaryota; Bigyra; Opalinata; Blastocystidae.